GAUGAACGCUGGCGGCGUGCCUAAUACGUGCAAGUCGAGCGAACGGACGAGAAGCUUGCUUCUCUGAUGUUAGCGGCGGACGGGUGAGUAACACGUGGAUAACCUACCUAUAAGACUGGGAUAACUUCGGGAAACCGGAGCUAAUACCGGAUGAUAUUUUGAACCGCAUGGUUCAAAAGUGAAAGACGGUCUUGCUGUCACUUAUAGAUGGAUCAGCGCUGCAUUAGCUAGUUGGUAAGGUAACGGCUUACCAAGGCAACGAUGCAUAGCCGACCUGAGAGGGUGAUCGGCCACACUGGCACUGAGACACAGUCCAGACUCCGACGGGAGGCAGCAGUAGAGAAUCUUACGCAAUGGGCGAGAGCCUGAAGGAGCAACGCCGCGUGAGUGAUGAAGGUCUUCGGAUCGUAAAACUCUGUUAUUAGGGAAGAACAUAUGUGUAAGUAACUGGGCACAUCUUGACGGUACCUAAUCAGAAAGCCACGGCUAACUACGUG
This 497-nucleotide ribosomal RNA is filed under the name uncultured bacterium. RNAcentral's name for it is "partial 16S ribosomal RNA". It matches the Rfam family "Bacterial small subunit ribosomal RNA", at positions 28 to 507 of the family's 1533-position model. The record is from RNAcentral.